Molecule: Y RNA, 111 nt
Filed under: Saimiri boliviensis boliviensis (Bolivian squirrel monkey)
Lineage: Eukaryota; Metazoa; Chordata; Mammalia; Primates; Cebidae
Description: Y RNA (ENSSBOG00000009302.1)
Rfam family: Y RNA
About the family: Y RNAs are components of the Ro ribonucleoprotein particle (Ro RNP), in association with Ro60 and La proteins. The Y RNAs and Ro60 and La proteins are well conserved, but the function of the Ro RNP is not known.
Source: Rfam by way of RNAcentral
GGCUGGUCUAAAGGUAGUGAGUUAUCUCAGUUGAUUGUUCACAAUCAGUUACAGAUUGAUCUCCUUGUUUUACUCAUUCCCCUUCUCACUACUGCACUUGAUUAGUCUUUA